Molecule: long non-coding RNA, 1167 nt
Organism: Pogoniulus pusillus (Red-fronted tinkerbird)
Lineage: Eukaryota; Metazoa; Chordata; Aves; Piciformes; Lybiidae
Exons: 6
Source: RefSeq, a predicted model, not a curated record
AAAACCUGCAGAAAUAAAUGUUGAAAAAAAAAAUCCAAAACUGUAUGGAGAAAUAUCUGACACUCUUCAUAUCUGGUCUGCAAACAAAAUGUUUUCAUGAGGUUUGUUGCUGAGAGAACAAGGCACAUUUCCACGGCAAAGAGGCAACUUUGAAAAGUUAACUGGGAGAGCAAACAACAGUUUGUCAGUGCACAGGUCAGGAUCCAGAGGAUAGCCUCUGAACUUUAUCAGAAGACUACAAAGAAAGAAGUAGAGAAAUUAAAACCUUUGUUUCUCCUUUACAACUUCAAUGCACAGCAUAAGCACUGGUUAGUUCACCUUCAGCAUGCAAAGAGUUGAUGAGGAACUGUCCCUCCUACUCUACCUAAUUUUGCUCAGCUGAUUCCUUGCCCUGGACAAUGGCUGCAGUGCGAUGAACUCGUCACUUAAAGCAACUCUGUUGGAGUACAUCUACAAUUGGACAGAGAAGGGAUGGAACAUACAUGUCAGCCCAUGCUAUCUGACCUCACAUCAAGGACGUGGAAGAAACCAACAUAAUCACUUUCAGAUGUGAAAAAGAUGCAGAAGCUGAAAUUCAGAACUUAAGAUGUGGUUGAGGAAUGGUGAAGACUACAAGAAAAACACAAGAAUCCUUUAAAGACUGGAAAAGAGCCUUUUUGGCAAAAGAUAUACGUCCAUCCUACUAUCCAUCAGUAAGAAAAUUACCUUGAUCAAACCUAAGCGUGAAUUAAACAAGCAACUGCUAAAAGAAGGUCUUUUCAGUUCAGCAGAAAAAGUGUAAGGAGCAAAAAUGCUGAGAUGUGAAACCAGGGACAGUAGCUAUAAGAUGAGUGGGUCAGGACGAGAUCUUUGUAACUGCCACUAAAGAGAACAAAAAGCCCUUUCAAACACAGAUGCCCUGUUUACCUAAGAGAGCCUAGUUACAAUGGGAUGGUUGCACAGGGGUUUGGCUGCCUUUGUCAGGCAAAAGGGAGGUUGUAUUCUCAGAGUGUAGCUUUAGACAUUUCAAAGACUUGAUGAAAAUGCCACAUGGGCAAUUAUCUUUCAUUACAUAAUCAAUAACCAAAUACACAGUGUGUGCCACAAUCAAGAUGGAAGAACUACUAACUAAAACGUGUCCUACUAAAGCAAUUUCAUAAUUUAGUGUUUUCAUCACAUUUUCAGAAC